CCAGACUCCUACGGGAGGCAGCAGUGAGGAAUAUUGGUCAAUGGCCGGAAGGCUGAACCAGCCAAGCCGCGUGAAGGACGAAGGUGCCAAGCAUUGUAAGCUUCUUUUGUCAAGGGACAAAAUCAGGCUCGAGAGCCUGACCGAGGGUACUUGAAGAAAAAGCAUCGGCUAACUCCGUGCCAGCAGCCGCGGUAAUACGGAGGAUGCGAGCGUUAUCCGGAUUUAUUGGGUUUAAAGGGUGCGUAGGCGGACGCUGAGGUCAGCGGUAAAUUGGCGGGGCUCAACCUCGUCGAGCCGUUGAAACUGGGUGCCUUGAGUGGGCGAGAAGUACGCGGAAUGCGUGGUGUAGCGGUGAAAUGCAUAGAUAUCACGCAGAACCCCGAUUGCGAAGGCAGCAUACCGGUGCACAACUGACGCUGAGGCACGAAAGUGCGGGGAUCGAACAGGAUUAGAUACCCUGGUAA
RNAcentral lists this ribosomal RNA (464 nucleotides) under uncultured bacterium. Its description in RNAcentral is "partial 16S ribosomal RNA". It matches the Rfam family "Bacterial small subunit ribosomal RNA", at positions 331 to 793 of the family's 1533-position model. The record is from RNAcentral.